RNAcentral lists this long non-coding RNA (396 nucleotides) under Volvox carteri. Its description in RNAcentral is "long non-coding RNA (VCAR_LNC000188)". Lineage: Eukaryota; Viridiplantae; Chlorophyta; Chlorophyceae; Chlamydomonadales; Volvocaceae. The record is from RNAcentral.
GGCGGCUUGCUCCUCAUAGCCACGGUCGGCGGCGAGAUGACUAUAGCCAGUCUUGUAGGAGGACAAGGCGCUGGAGCAGCAGGGGUUGCCUAUGCCGGUUUCACGGUCGUAAGUGCUGCCACGGCCCAAGCGGUUAAACAGCCCGGAGAGUAGACCCAGAUGAUUGUUGACGGUGUUGGGGCUCGGGUCGUCCACACGGCGGUUGGGGAGCCAGUGCGCCUCCAGGUAGACGAGUAGGUCGUCAUCAGUGCAGGUUAGCAGGGUACGGCCAUGGGGCAGGGAGGCCAGCCAGGCAGAGAGGUCACGGCCAGCAGCCUCCUGGCGGGCAAUGGUUUCGCGAGCCAACGAGCUGUCGCAGACGGUGGCGGCCUUCGCGAGGGCGACGGUAUAAAGCUG